UACGGAGGGGGCAAGCGUUAUUCGGAAUCAUUGGGCGUAAAGGGCGCGUAGGCGGCUUGGCAAGUCACAGGUGAAAUCCCUCGGCCUAACCGAGGAACUGCCUUUGAAACUGCUUGGCUUGAGGCCGGGAGAGGGUAGCGGAAUUCCCAGUGUAGCGGUGAAAUGCGUAGAUAUUGGGAAGAACACCGGUGGCGAAGGCGGCGACCUGGUCCAUUACUGACGCUGAGGCGCGACAGCGUGGGGAGCAAACAGG
This 253-nucleotide ribosomal RNA is filed under the name uncultured bacterium. RNAcentral describes it as "partial 16S ribosomal RNA". It matches the Rfam family "Bacterial small subunit ribosomal RNA", at positions 524 to 776 of the family's 1533-position model. The record is from RNAcentral.